Phocoena sinus (vaquita) is the source of this 3123-nucleotide long non-coding RNA. NCBI's taxonomy places the organism in Eukaryota, Metazoa, Chordata, Mammalia, Artiodactyla, Phocoenidae. The record is from Ensembl.
GAAAGCAAAAGUAUUUCCAGUCUCCUCCUGACGCACUGUCACAGAAGAUCUCUGUCCUUGUAUUUAGGGAUACACAUCCAUAUACUUGCCUGAACGUGUGAGUCCUUGGAAUUACGGAUUCAUUGCCGGUAGCUGGUGAUCUCCUACGCAGAAGGUCGCUAACUACAAGAAAUGUUACGUGCGGUUCCAGUGCCUCUCUCAGAAGAUCCCUGAGGCCCGCUUCUCUGCCCUGGACCGCGUCUCUGCCCGUGUUCCUCUCUUUUCCUCAUCCAUUCAUCUGCUGACACCUGUGCAUUCUUAGGAGUCGUCUCAGGUGCUGGUCUUCUGAACAAAUGCCCCCUGAGGAAUUCUGUGCCUGGAGAAUAUCUGUCUACAGAUUUCUUUUGACGCCCUAUGUAAGUAGAGGCUUGUGCUUAAAACUCAGUCUCACGGGAGCUUUGUUUUAUUUUGUUCCUGGAGGAUCCCCCGGUAAGUUUUUUUUAGGUGGUCAUCAGUGUUUGAUCUCGGUUUUUUUUCUCUAAAACACUCAACUUCCAAUUUACUAUCAGAAAAAGUCUGUAACACGAACUUCUGCUCAAAAUCAAGGGUAUGGAUCCCAUGUUCAGGUCUCAGAAUGGGAAGAGGAGAAAGCAGAAAAUAUGAAAACCACUCACUUGGGUCAAUUCAGUUGGAGAUGCCAUUUGUAGAUCCGAGGGCAUCUUUUCAGGGUUUAGUAUUCAUCAGACUCCUCUGUGGUUAGCGACUGUGGAAUGUGCCCCGUACAGCUCAGGGUGUGGGCACGGGAUCCGGGAGCCCUUCCGUUUGGGAGCCGUGACAGAUCUCUUAGCCACAUCUCUGCUUAUAACAGGCUGAAGGAAAACUGAUAUCUUAUUUUUAUCGUUGUAACCGUCAUUUAUUGAAUGUGUACAUGUGCUAUUUCCAGUUCCACUCGCUUCUCCUUCUCUGUCUUAAUUCUCACAACAACCUUACGUGGUAGGUCUUGUUAUUACCCUGAUUUCACAGAUGAGGAGACCGAGGCACAGAGAGUCAAGUAACUUCCCCCAGUUUGUGCGGGGAGCGAAUUCCAGAACUUGACGUUCCAGCCCCAGAAGUCUGCGUUGGACCAUCCCACCAAACUGCCCCAUAGAAACGAGCAGCUUUGGAGGACGAGCUGGUGGGCUGUAUUUGGAGACGGUGUUUUAGCACUGCCACGAUCCCAUGCGGGAGGGGGCUGCUGGACUUACAAAGGCUUGAGCUUGCUUAAGACUAGUAGGAGAACCAGGCUUUAGAGACGAUGUGACUUGCUUAUGGUCACGCCGCAAGUCAGAAUGUGGCGGAGGGUCUGGGGCCAAAUCCUACCGGUUUCCAAGUUUUCUCCUUCCUCUUGGUUGUUAGGUGCCGCUUCUGCUGUUCGAGACCAAAGCUGGUUUCAGUGGUUUGCUCACGUGCUUAUGGACGAAACCCUGCACCUCAGAGCCCGUUUAUGUUCAGAGGUCCACAUGGCCAUGUGAAGAUUGGCCGUUACAGUAUCUAUAAAGCACCAAGCAGCAAAGAAUGGUGAGUAAGAGCCUGGGCCUGGAAUCAAGCGGAAUGGAGUCUGAAUCCUGGUCUUGCCAUUCCUAAACUUUGUGACCAAGAGCAAGUGCUGUACCCUCGCUAUGUCUCUGUUCCUUCACCUGAAAAAUGGAAGUAACGCCACUAGCCUUGUAGGUGGUUGUGAGUGAUGAGAAAAUGCAUAGAAGGCACGUAGCACAGUGUCUGGCACAGAGUAAGUCUUCCAAAAAUGGAAGCUGUUAUUAUUUAUCAGAGUACCUUCCCAUCCGCUCCGCAGUUCAUGUCGGCCUUCACUCUGAAACGGCACUGCAGCGCCCUGAUCCAUCUAAUAAAACAAUGUUUGUGUGUAGUGCUUUUUUAAAAAUUACAGUUGUUCCCGUACACGGAAUUCCAUAUGCCUCUAAGAACCAGUGCAGGAUAGGAAUUUGUAUCUCCGUUCUCUAGAUCGGCGUGCUGAGGCUCGGCAAAAUUAAAUGAUUGCCCAAGAUCCCACAGCUAGUCAACAGCACAGCCAGAACUUCAGCUUGGAGCCAGAACUCCAGAUCCUGCGCUACUUAUUUAUCUGCUUCCUGUAAGAAAGUAUUCAUUAAAGGCACGUAAGUCAACAGAGAGCUAACUCCCCACCGUACGAUCCAGCACCUUCCAACCGAUAACAGUUGCAUCUUUAGUCUGGCCUGGAUAUUUGGGUUAGGACUCUUGUAUCCUGAAGUCUGUAACGUUCUGAAGCUACCUUCUUUAAAGACGCGUCAUAGUCAGAUACUGUCUCCUUGUGAAAUAUCCUCACGCCCCGGGGGACGUUAUCUUAAUCCAGUUUGCUCGUGCAAGAAGAGACUGGCAUUUCACUUCAAGGAAAGACAACGUGUUUCCACUGUUCCGCUUUUGCCACACAGGAGUUACCGGUGUGGCUUAUUGAUUGACAUUUCAGGCUCUAACUUUCCUAUCAGAUCUGGAAGAAAAAAAAAAAACAAAGAAUGGCAGCUUGCUCCAGAACAGCAUGAAGUAAGGAAUCGCAGGUGGGAUUUUGAAAUAGAAACACAUUCUUGUAGCCCCUAUGCUGAGAGACACCAAGGAGGGAUUUUGUUCUUGAAAGGUGAGCACUUUAAUGUGGAGGUGGAGAGUUUAACAAUGUUAAGUGUGUGUUCUGUGUGUAAGAAAGAGUUGUUAAAAAAUAACAUUCCUUUCAAACGAUGCAGUACCUUAAAACUGUCAAUGGUUAAAGUAGAGACACCCUGAGUUACAGGAGUUCGGCCCUGCCGUCUCCUGCCCUGAAAAUACAGAACAAUCAGGUUGAUUGUUGGAGGUUGGAGGAUGGGGAGGAGUGGAAACAUGCUGAUGUUUACUGAGUAAGAUCUUUCCUUGCAGUUGACUGUCACUGAAAGACUCAACAAAGUAAGCAGAGGGCUUCCCUGGUGGCGCAGUGGUUGAGAGUACGCCUGCCGAUGCGGGGGACGCGGGUUCGUGCCCCCGUCUGGGAAGAUCCCACGUGCCGCGGAGCGGCUGGGCCCGUGAGCCGUGGCCGCUGAGCCUGCGCAUCCGGAGCCUGUGCUCCGCAACGGGAGAGGCCACAACAGUGAGAGGCCCGCGUACCGC